This 573-nucleotide ribosomal RNA is filed under the name uncultured bacterium. Its description in RNAcentral is "partial 16S ribosomal RNA". It matches the Rfam family "Bacterial small subunit ribosomal RNA", at positions 355 to 921 of the family's 1533-position model. The record is from RNAcentral.
UGGGGAAUUUUGGACAAUGGGCGAAAGCCUGAUCCAGCAAUGCCGCGUGUGUGAAGAAGGCCUUCGGGUUGUAAAGCACUUUUGUCCGGAAAGAAAUCCUUGGCUCUAAUACAGUCGGGGGAUGACGGUACCGGAAGAAUAAGCACCGGCUAACUACGUGCCAGCAGCCGCGGUAAUACGUAGGGUGCAAGCGUUAAUCGGAAUUACUGGGCGUAAAGCGUGCGCAGGCGGUUUGCUAAGACCGAUGUGAAAUCCCCGGGCUCAACCUGGGAACUGCAUUGGUGACUGGCAGGCUAGAGUAUGGCAGAGGGGGGUAGAAUUCCACGUGUAGCAGUGAAAUGCGUAGAGAUGUGGAGGAAUACCGAUGGCGAAGGCAGCCCCCUGGGCCAAUACUGACGCUCAUGCACGAAAGCGUGGGGAGCAAACAGGAUUAGAUACCCUGGUAGUCCACGCCCUAAACGAUGUCAACUAGUUGUUGGGGAUUCAUUUCCUUAGUAACGUAGCUAACGCGUGAAGUUGACCGCCUGGGGAGUACGGUCGCAAGAUUAAAACUCAAAGGAAUUGACGGGGUCA